AACUUUCGGCAAUGGAUCUCUUGGCUCCAGCAUCGAUGAAGAACGCAGCGAAAUGCGAUAACUAGUGUGAAUUGCAGAAUUCAGUGAAUCAUCGAGUCUUUGAACGCACAUUGCGCCCGCCGGCACUCCGGCGGGCAUGCCCGUCCGAGCGUCAUGUCAAAACCUCGAGCCCCCGCGCUCGGCGCUGGGGGACCGCCCGCCCGGGACGGCCUCCGAAAUCCAGUGGCGGCGGCGGCCUGGCCUCCUGCGCAGUAGCAACGCCUCGCAGAGCGACCCGGUCGGCGCCGGCCGUGAAACACCGACCCUUCAGUUUGACCUCGGAUCGGGUAGGGCUACCCGCUGAACUUAAGCAUAUCAAUAAGCGGAGGCU
This 370-nucleotide unclassified non-coding RNA is filed under the name uncultured Sordariomycetes. RNAcentral's name for it is "sequence contains ITS2". The stretch from base 1 to 154 matches the Rfam family "5.8S ribosomal RNA". Lineage: Eukaryota; Fungi; Ascomycota; Sordariomycetes. The record is from RNAcentral.